GUGCCAGCAGCCGCGGUAAUACGGAGGGUGCAAGCGUUAUCCGGAUUCACUGGGUUUAAAGGGAGCGUAGGUGGACUUUUAAGUCAGUGGUGAAAUCUCUGGGCUUAACCCGGAAACUGCCAUUGAUACUAUUAGUCUUGAAUUCUCUGGAGGUAAGCGGAAUAUGUCAUGUAGCGGUGAAAUGCUUAGAUAUGACAUAGAACACCCAUUGCGAAGGCAGCUUACUACGGAGACAUUGACACUGAGGCUCGAAAGCGUGGGGAUCAAACAGGAUUAGAUACCCUGGUAGUCC
RNAcentral lists this ribosomal RNA (292 nucleotides) under uncultured bacterium. RNAcentral's name for it is "partial 16S ribosomal RNA". It matches the Rfam family "Bacterial small subunit ribosomal RNA", at positions 505 to 796 of the family's 1533-position model. The record is from RNAcentral.